Marmota monax (woodchuck) is the source of this 1719-nucleotide long non-coding RNA. RefSeq lists it as uncharacterized. The record is from RefSeq and is a predicted model, not a curated record. The transcript has 2 exons. NCBI's taxonomy places the organism in Eukaryota, Metazoa, Chordata, Mammalia, Rodentia, Sciuridae.
UUCAUGGACGCCCAGCAGCACUUCCUUCACCUCUACCCUGGAGGGGAGCCCCGGAGAAGAUGCAGCUCUGCUCCCAACAUCCCAGGGACUUGCAGUUGUCCCUUAAACACCCUCCUUCCCAGAAUCCUUCCCCCACCCUGCACAGGUAACAGAGAAAAAAUGCAGCCAUGAUCACCCCAGGCCUUCAUCUCUGUCACAUUGGGCCAACAGUCCUGGACCUAGACCCAAAGCGCCUAUCGACCUUCGUCUCUCCAGCACAAGAAAAUUCCGUGGCCUACACACAACCCCAAACUCUGUCGCCAGGCUUUGCCUAGCCCCACAUAAACUUCACCUUGGGAAUUCUGAAAAGUUUAAAUGGAGCAGAUUUUUCCUCCAAAGGGUCUUUGACAGGAAAAGGCUGCAUGUGAGAACAUUUAGAUUAAACCUGCCAAACUGCAGACAGACGGUCAAGAGGGAUCCAGGCAGGAGCCAAGCCCGCACAGUGCUGCCCAGAGUCCUCCAGACAGACACCUGGAGGGACCUGGAUGACCUGGGAAGAGACACCAGCGCUGGCCUGUCUGCCUGGGGUUCCGCCAGUCAGCCCAGGAGUGACCCUCUCUCAUGGAUGCUGAGCUACAAGAUUCUUCCAGAGGGUUCUCCCCAUACCCACCCCCCGGGGCCCUGGGAUCUAGCCAGAGGGGCUGGUAAGAAGGAGCCAGGCUACAGAUAAAGGAAGUUGCUUUGGGAAGAAGAGCACGAAAGCAAAGUUUGCUGACUGAAGACUUUCACUGCCGCUGACCGGGCCUCCCUGUCAUGAGAAUGAAAAUUAUUUUCUGCUUGUCAAAAAAUAUUUCCAGGGUAGAUCCUGUGUUGUAAGUCAGACAGAUAAGGACAGCAAUUUCGAUUGCCUCCUUCUUGCCUGCGUAGCGGGUGCACAUUUGCAGCCCUGUACAGCUUAGAUGCUAUCUGCAGAGACUGAGCCUUGGGAAGGUUGCCCCCACCCCCACAACAUCUCUCCUCCAGGGAUCCACCCACUUCCUCUUGGGAGCCCAGCCGAGGACAGUGUGGUUUGAAGAACAUCCUAAUCCCAGCCCCAAAGCUCUGAAAGAAAAAAUGACUAAAAACUCUGGAAUGUGGAGCCUGCUGCUUCCUGCGAAGCACUUUGAAUGAAACACGUAACCAACAGCUGCAGUUCAGAGAAUGGAAACUCUGAAGGACGUCAUGGCUCCGGGACCCAAAGAGCGGGGUUGUGAGCAGAUCAAGGUCUUGAUUUCUGCCCAGCCCAGACUCUCUGUGCCCGUCCCUCCUGCUCUUCUUCCAGGAACCAGGCCCAUCCUGCUAAGGAUAUCCUUCUGUUGCUCCCUCAUUUCAAACACGCCACGACCCCCAGCAGCCUUGGGUCUUUGAGUGUGGUGGGUUAGAUCCCACACGCAUUCACCAGUGCCCAGUGCCCAGUGCCCACCGCCCUGCCCCUCUGCCCUCUCAGGAGCAGAGGGUGAACAUGGCGCCCAUGCUGGGACUCAGCCCAGACCAUGCCUGAUGAUGAAAGGCGGCUCAUGCAAGCAGACAGAUAUGGUUACCCAGGCCGGGCACCAGGGCACACACCUGUAAUCCCAACAGUUUAGGGGGCUGAGGCAGGAGGAUCCCAAGUCCAAGUCCAGCCUCAGCAACUUAGUGAGGCUCUAAGCAACUUAGUGAGGUCUUGUCUAAAAAAUAAAAAGAGUUGAGGGUGUGUGUGUC